UAAAGUGACGUCAGUGCAGGCGAGGGCUGCCAGGAGACGAGGCUGUUGGAAAGAAACCAGACCCUUGGAAUCGAGCGAAAGAGACAGAGGGACCAAGAAAGGAAGAGAGACACAGAGAGACAGAGAAGGAAAGAAAGAGUGAGCGAAGGAGAGGAGUGAGGGGGUACAGGGCGAAAUAAAGGAUAGAAGGAGAAGAGAUUGCAAGUAGGUGCAGCUUUUCAAGACAGCUUUUUCCCCAUCUUGGAAAUAUUAGAAUGCUCUAACCCCAUGGAUCGGUGCAGAAAGCCAUUGCGAUGCCGAGGAUUGGCAUCUCUUCUUAAGAGACCCGUUAUAUUUGCCGAGCCCGCGUUACUGCCGCUGCUGCCGAUUGCCAUUCCACUGCUGUAUUUCCACGGCUGCUCUGAAAAGAACAAUCAAUGCUUUUGACUAUACUGAAGCAGGCUUCCAGUGCUCCCACUACAUCUAUUUGGGCGCAAAAAAAGCAAAAACGAAGAUUUUUCACUAUACAAAAGUGGGGAGUUUCUUUCCCUUUUGUGUCUGAUCUUCCAAACUACAAGAUGCAGGCAGUCGGGCGUUUGUGGAAGACCUGUGGCGGAGAGGGAGUCGGUUGCUAUCUUUGGUUAUCUAGCUGUAUGAGUGUUAUUCAGCCGUCAUAAAGCUAGAUAACCGAAAGUAGAAAUGACUUCCAAACCUGCGUACUGAUCAAGUCAAAAAGCAAGUCAGAAAGGAAGAACGAAGAUACACGAAAUGACCGACAUCUAAGGUGAGAAGAUAAAGCAACUCACGAAGACUUCAAACAAGGACAUCAAUGAUCUAUGCAGUCUUUUAUUGACCAAGGAAUGGCCUGAUUUUGAACCUGGCCCUGGAACCACAGCAUUGUGGAGGAUGUCAGUGUAAAGCAAGUGCCUUGAUGGAGGAAGGAAAAAAGGGUCGUUAUUAAAAAAAAAAAAAUUUUAUAUUUUUAAAUGCCAACCUCCCUGCUCCCAAUACUGCCCCUUCCCCCUAACCCCCCUCCGGAGACUCUAGUGCCAUCUGUGCCCCCUGAGAAUCAGAGCGAGAGAGAGAAACGCUCCCACUGAUGCCAACUCGGAGAAAGCCGCUGCCGUCAUCCGCCCUGCCAGAUGCCAUUUUGUGUGCCGGAGGACUCCUGUGUGUGUGGGUGUGCUGAGGAGGCCAUCUUGUAAAGAAAUCCUCACUGCUGCUCCUAAAAUGGCUGUGUUGGCACGAGAUUCACAUUGCCAGCUGUACAAGCAUCAAUCCGUUAAGAAGCCAUGCCCGCUGCUUUGUUCCAAGACAGCCUGGAAAGAGACUGGAUCACUCUGUAGGACACGGGACUUGAGCAAGCCUGCUGAUUGUGGAUUUUCUUUUUGCAAAGGAAGAGCCUGGGUUGACUUGUGAACUCACUGCUGUACAGGGGAUGAGCCUUCACCGCAUCGGGAUGAACACUGAACAUCACACAGAAGAUUUGAAGAUGCAAACUCAAAAUAAAAGACUUGCAGUUUUAAUGACUCUCAGCCCGCGCGUGAUUCCACAAUAACUGAUUGUAUCCCUAUUUGAAUUCACCUUCUUGAGGAAACAGUUGGAUAAUGUAUUUAUCCUAUUACAUAUCAUUGAUAUAAAUACAGCAGAUAUUCAGAUCAUUUAGGAUUCUCCAUAUAACAGGAGUACUGUAUGUUUCAGCAUUUUUUGUGAUCUGAAUGUUUAAAACUAGAUUCACCAUUUACAUAACCGUUAGAUUACAAAGUGCAAAGCCAAUUUUCAUUAGGAGGUAAGAAGGCUCAUUUGCGGAUCAGCUUUAUGGAUUGUACCCCUGUGGCAUGGCUGGGGUUCCCUCAUUGGAAAAGAAGCCCCAAUAUAUACUUGCCUGAAGUGUGGCUCCAAUGAAGUGAUAACUAGAGGGGGGAUCAAGUAUACAAGGAGAGUGCAACAUUGGUAUGAGAUGAUAAAUAUGAUGGUUUUCGUAUCAUGAGUGAGAUGUUUGUCUCCUAGUACACUUGAAGCAUCCUAUAGUUAUAGCUCUCAAGUGCAUUUGAAUAAACAGUCAGUAACGUGCUGCUGCCACUCUGAGUGUGAUAACAGAACCGGCCGUUAAGAGGCAGGCUGUGCUGUGCUGUGAAUGGGAGUCUUUGUGACGUUGCUUAGUGCAGGAUUUAGAAUCACAGUGAAAGUGAAUGGCACUUUCUACUUCUCAUAGAGUGUGUCUAAGCUUGCCUGAAUUAAAGGCACACUUGUCCCACUCAUCUAGAAGGUGUUACAGGGCGCUUAUCGUGAUUUCCCAGCUCCUCCACCCGAGCAGCGACAACAGACUCCCAAAUAACAAACCUGCCACCCUGCCAGCAUGCCAGCCCCCUCCAGCAUGGAGACUGUGACACAGGCCCUCCACUCCACACAGCCUGGCACUUCACGAAUGCGUCACACUCCUAUAUUUAGCAGCUACCGAUGUAUUUCAGUAGGGAGUUUGCUCAUCAGGAGAUAAAAAAAGGAAACCGCUCAGUCACUUUAAAAUUCUGACGAGAGCUGGGUGAGGCAAGGAAAGAAACCGAGAUGGAUUUGGUAGACCUAAUACCGGCAUGUGUGCCAGCGUGCUUGUGUGUGAGUGUGUGGGUUCAGAGUACCUGUAAUAGAAAUCAAGAACAAAACAUUCAUAUGUUUCUGUGAUUGAGGAAUCAAAUGAACAACUUGGAUUGUGUCUUUUAAACAGUUCAAGAUAUCAUAUAUGUGGGCGCCCACCUGUGCUAUUUCUAGAAUGCAGUUCAGCUCAGUCUAGUCAAUGUGACGCUAAUCAAUCUGAUCACAGAGCAGCAUGUUCGCAGGCUCCCUUCAAAGAGCUGCGAGCAGGGAAAUUGCUUUGUGCCACAGUGGUGGAGUUCAUAUAACCUUGUCAAAGCAAAGGAAGAAAAUUAACAGUCAGUUGAUGUACCUGAGACUCCAUUUAAAAGCAAGCAUUGUUUAUAUUAGACAUACAAAAGUUGAUGGAAUUGGCAUUCAAAUUGCAGAAUAAAAUACCCUGUUUCUUUUUUAUUUAAUUAAAAAAUAUUACAAUUGGAUAUCAUUGUGAUGCCACGAUCCAAGCAUGUCCCCUUGUGUGUUUAUUGUGAUAUCCACAACUGUGUGAUUGAAGUUCUUACCACAUCCACGAUCCAUUAUAUAUAAUGCUGAACACCAUAUAUAUAUAUAUAUAUAUAUAUAUAUAUAUAUAUAUAUAUAUAUAUAUAUAUAUAUAUAUAUAGCUUUUGGCUGUAUUCUAUAUGUGCUUUUAUGAAUAAAUACACACCGUUUUGAAAUAAGCAACAGAAAUCAGUAAAAUAAAAUAAAAUAUGUUUACAAAUACAUAUCCUGGAACACGUGAUUAGGUCAUGCAGUAAUCGUGUUAGACAAUUAUUCCCGUGGAGACAGUGAAACAUAUUGAGUCUUGUGUGCGGGGACACGCUGGAGUCGCAUGGGAAGCAGUGUCUUAAUGAAUGCAGUGCUUACAGAAGAAAUCAAGGGCUUCUUUUAGCAGGAUAACAUGAUCGUGAGCAAACACAGGCCUGGGGCUGCUGAAAACCACCUGUGGAGAUGAGUUAGAGCAUGCCAGCAUCGUGCCUUAAAACUGCUGCAAAUAAACACCAUACAUUGCAUGUUCAUGUGUGGCCUGGUCUAUAUGCAUUUAGGCAGUAGAGCAUGACAGGGUGUGUUUCGUUGUGGGAUAUCGCCAUGCUUCUGACUAUGGGUCAAUUUCAAAGACAAAACUACUUUUAAAGAGAACCCUGGCGAUGCUCCGAGAUAUCGUCACGGCUAUGACAUCACAUAGUGUAUUGAAAAAAAAUAGGACGGUCCUUGCCGUUGUAUAAUAAUCCAUUUUAAUUCAAGGCCAGCUAUAAUGGGCCCUCAAUAUCGUACUGAAACAUGCUACUGUGAAAACAUGUAUCAGAUUUUGUUUUGUAUUUAAUGCAUAUUUAUAUUGUAAAGUAAUUGAAAAAACUGAUAAUAAUUAGCUGAAACGUUCCAGCUCAUUAUUAAUAUAGACUUAUCAGUUUAUCAAUUACUUUAUUAAGUAUUUGAUCCGGAUUCUCCUGUUUUUGAAUUCUUUGUACUCUCUCUGUAGACAUUAUUUGAAAAUAUGAAAUGAUGUUUUGCCUUGAUAAAGGGUUUAUAAACAGCUGUGUACACUUUUUCUACGCAAGUAUAUGUUCGUUUUCAAUAAUAAAAAUAAAUAAAUAAAUAAAAACUAUA
Molecule: long non-coding RNA, 4215 nt
Organism: Acipenser ruthenus (sterlet)
Lineage: Eukaryota; Metazoa; Chordata; Actinopteri; Acipenseriformes; Acipenseridae
Exons: 5
Source: RefSeq, a predicted model, not a curated record